RNAcentral lists this ribosomal RNA (413 nucleotides) under uncultured bacterium. Its description in RNAcentral is "bacterial SSU rRNA". It matches the Rfam family "Bacterial small subunit ribosomal RNA", at positions 29 to 489 of the family's 1533-position model. The record is from RNAcentral.
AACGAACGCUGGCGGCAGGCUUAACACAUGCAAGUCGAACGCCCCGCAAGGGGAGUGGCAGACGGGUGAGUAACGCGUGGGAAUCUACCCAGAACUUCGGAACAACUGAGGGAAACUUCAGCUAAUACCGGAUACGCCCUACGGGGGAAAGAUUUAUCGGUUCUGGAUGAGCCCGCGUUGGAUUAGCUAGUUGGUGAGGUAAAGGCUCACCAAGGCGACGAUCCAUAGCUGGUCUGAGAGGAUGAUCAGCCACACUGGGACUGAGACACGGCCCAGACUCCUACGGGAGGCAGCAGUGGGGAAUAUUGGACAAUGGGCGAAAGCCUGAUCCAGCCAUGCCGCGUGAGUGAUGAAGGCCUUAGGGUUGUAAAGCUCUUUCAGUAGGGAAGAUAAUGACGGUACCUACAGAAGAA